UGGGGAAUUUUGGACAAUGGGCGCAAGCCUGAUCCAGCAAUGCCGCGUGAGUGAAGAAGGCCCUCGGGUUGUAAAGCUCUUUUGUCAGGGAAGAAAAGGUGAUCUCUAAUACAGGUCACUCAUGACGGUACCUGAAGAAUAAGCACCGGCUAACUACGUGCCAGCAGCCGCGGUAAUACGUAGGGUGCAAGCGUUAAACGGAAUUACUGGGCGUAAAGCGUGCGCAGGCGGUUAUAUAAGUCAGAUGUGAAAUCCCCGGGCUCAACCUGGGAACUGCAUUUGAGACUGUAUGGCUAGAGUGUGUCAGAGGGGGGUAGAAUUCCACGUGUAGCAGUGAAAUGCGUAGAUAUGUGGAGGAAUACCGAUGGCGAAGGCAGCCCCCUGGGAUAACACUGACGCUCAUGCACGAAAGCGUGGGGAGCAAACA
Molecule: ribosomal RNA, 427 nt
Filed under: uncultured bacterium
Lineage: Bacteria
Description: partial 16S ribosomal RNA
Rfam family: Bacterial small subunit ribosomal RNA
Source: RNAcentral